Molecule: long non-coding RNA, 527 nt
Filed under: Chinchilla lanigera (long-tailed chinchilla)
Lineage: Eukaryota; Metazoa; Chordata; Mammalia; Rodentia; Chinchillidae
Description: lncRNA (ENSCLAG00000027159.1)
Source: RNAcentral
GACAAGGUGACAGGGGUCGGUGACCUUUGGCAGUUAAGGAGAGAAGAAUGGAGCCUAAGACCUGAGUGCCCCUGGAGUGACAAACAGUGGGAAGUCUGACUCCGUACCAUGUACAGUGCUUCAAGCCUGGAAAAUCAUAUACAAUAUGCUGGGGAUGGAAGUCAGAGCUUGCACUUUGCCACUGAGUUAUACCUCAGCCGUGGAGCUGAUUUUUAUACCAUCAGAUCGGCAAGAAUUAUUGCACGGGCAGCACCCAGCGCCACAUAUUAGGACAUUAACGGGGCUCACACAGGACAGAGGCAUUUGAUUCCAGUUUGAAGCUAUCCUGGAUAAAGCUUCUAUGGGCUUCUAGAAUGGGCUAAUAGACUGGAGGUGUAGCUAGCGGUAAACAGCUUGUCUCCCAGGUGUGAGGUCCUGGCUUCAAUCCCAAGUGCUGUGAAAAAUAAUAAUAAAAAAAAUAAUGUUAUGGACAUUAACCAGGACUUUAAGGAAUGUCUUUCCUAUUAUUAAACUGCCUCAGAAUUUUC